RNAcentral lists this ribosomal RNA (253 nucleotides) under uncultured bacterium. RNAcentral's name for it is "partial 16S ribosomal RNA". It matches the Rfam family "Bacterial small subunit ribosomal RNA", at positions 524 to 776 of the family's 1533-position model. The record is from RNAcentral.
UACGUAGGGUGCAAGCGUUAAUCGGAAUUAUUGGGCGUAAAGAGCUCGUAGGCGGUUUGUCGCGUCUGCCGUGAAAGUCCGGGGCUCAACUCCGGAUCUGCGGUGGGUACGGGCAGACUAGAGUGAUGUAGGGGAGACUGGAAUUCCUGGUGUAGCGGUGAAAUGCGCAGAUAUCAGGAGGAACACCGAUGGCGAAGGCAGGUCUCUGGGCAUUAACUGACGCUGAGGAGCGAAAGCAUGGGGAGCGAACAGG